AUUGAACGCUGGCGGCAGGCCUAACACAUGCAAGUCGAGCGGAUGAAGGGAGCUUGCUCCUGGAUUCAGCGGCGGACGGGUGAGUAAUGCCUAGGAAUCUGCCUGGUAGUGGGGGAUAACGUCCGGAAACGGGCGCUAAUACCGCAUACGUCCUGAGGGAGAAAGUGGGGGAUCUUCGGACCUCACGCUAUCAGAUGAGCCUAGGUCGGAUUAGCUAGUUGGUGGGGUAAAGGCCUACCAAGGCGAGGAUUCGUAACUGGUCUGAGAGGAUGAUCAGUCACACUGGAACUGAGACACGGUCCAGACUCCUACGGGAGGCAGCAGUGGGGAAUAUUGGACAAUGGGCGAAAGCCUGAUCCAGCCAUGCCGCGUGUGUGAAGAAGGUCUUCGGAUUGUAAAGCACUUUAAGUUGGGAGGAAGGGCAGUAAGUUAAUACCUUGCUGUUUUGACGUUACCAACAGAAUAAGCACCGGCUAACUUCGUG
RNAcentral lists this ribosomal RNA (484 nucleotides) under uncultured bacterium. RNAcentral's name for it is "partial 16S ribosomal RNA". It matches the Rfam family "Bacterial small subunit ribosomal RNA", at positions 30 to 507 of the family's 1533-position model. The record is from RNAcentral.